AUAAAUCCGAUGAUAAGGAAGAGUAGUUAAAUUAAGAUUCAAUAUAGAGAGUUGAGGAUGGUGGAAUCUCAACAAGAAAGAUUUAAUGAAUGGACCUUUUAGGAGUAAAUCGAAAUCUAUUUAGAGAGUAGACUUUAUCGUGAGUUGCACGUUACAGCAAUUGAGGUAUGAUAGUAUCAAUAAUUAAGAGGUGUAUUUUAUAGUACACAAUUUAGGUGGCAACGCGGAUAUAACACUCCGUCCUAUUG
This 248-nucleotide non-coding RNA is filed under the name Terrisporobacter sp. RNAcentral's name for it is "T-box sequence". It matches the Rfam family "T-box leader". From Rfam's summary of the family: Uncharged tRNA acts as the effector for transcription antitermination of genes in the T-box leader family. The record is from RNAcentral. Lineage: Bacteria; Bacillati; Bacillota; Clostridia; Peptostreptococcales; Peptostreptococcaceae.